This 242-nucleotide ribosomal RNA is filed under the name uncultured bacterium. RNAcentral's name for it is "partial 16S ribosomal RNA". It matches the Rfam family "Bacterial small subunit ribosomal RNA", at positions 333 to 567 of the family's 1533-position model. The record is from RNAcentral.
UCUCGCCUACGGGACGCAGCAGUAGGGAAUCUUCCACAAUGGACGAAAGUCUGAUGGAGCAACGCCGCGUGAGUGAAGAAGGGUUUCGGCUCGUAAAGCUCUGUUGGUAGUGAAGAAAGAUAGAGGUAGUAACUGGCCUUUAUUUGACGGUAAUUACUUAGAAAGUCACGGCUAACUACGUGCCAACAGCCGCGGUAAUACGUAGGUGGCAAGCGUUGUCCGGAUUUAUUGGGCGUAAAGCG